AGAGUUUGAUCAUGGCUCAGGACGAACGCUGGCGGCGUGCCUAACACAUGCAAGUCGAACGGAGAUAAAGAUUUCGGUUUUUAUCUUAGUGGCGCACGGGUGAGUAACACGUGAAUAACCUGACCCAAAGAGGGGGAUAACACCUGGAAACAGGUGCUAAUACCGCAUAAGACCACAAUGUCGCAUGACGAAGGGGUCAAAGAAAAUCGCUUUGGGAGGGGUUCGCGUCCCAUUAGGUAGUAGGCGGGGUAACGGCCCACCUAGCCGACGAUGGGUAGCCGAGCUGAGAGGCUGAUCGGCCACACUGGAACUGAGACACGGUCCAGACUCCUACGGGAGGCAGCAGUGGGGAAUAUUGGGCAAUGGGCGCAAGCCUGACCCAGCAACGCCGCGUGAGGGAAGAAGGUUUUCGGAUUGUAAACCUCUGUCGCAGAAGACGAAGGAAGUGACGGUAUUCUGUGAGGAAGCCCCGGCUAACUACGUGCCAGCAGCCGCGGUAAUACGUAGGGGGCGAGCGUUGUCCGGAAUUACUGGGCGUAAAGGGAGCGUAGGCGGUCUGGUAAGUUGGAUGUGAAGUACCCGGGCUUAACUUGGGGGGUGCAUCCAAUACUGUUGGACUAGAGUACAGGAGAGGAAAGCGGAAUUCCUAGUGUAGCGGUGAAAUGCAUAGAUAUUAGGAGGAACAUCGGUGGCGAAGGCGGCUUUCUGGACUGCAACUGACGCUGAGGCUCGAAAGCGUGGGGAGCAAACAGGAUUAGAUACCCUGGUAGUCCAUGCCGUAAACGAUGAUUACUAGGUGUUGGGGGAUUGACCCCCUCAGUGCCGCAGUUAACACAAUAAGUAAUCCACCUGGGGAGUACGACCGCAAGGUUGAAACUCAAAGGAAUUGACGGGGGCCCGCACAAGCAGUGGAGUAUGUGGUUUAAUUCGAAGCAACGCGAAGAACCUUACCAGGUCUUGACAUCCGAUGCAUAGCACAGAGAUGUGUGAAAUCCUUCGGGACAUCGAGACAGGUGGUGCAUGGUUGUCGUCAGCUCGUGUCGUGAGAUGUUGGGUUAAGUCCCGCAACGAGCGCAACCCUUAUUGCCAGUUACUACGUUAAGAGGACUCUGGCGAGACUGCCGUUGACAAAACGGAGGAAGGUGGGGAUGACGUCAAAUCAUCAUGCCCUUUAUGACCUGGGCUACACACGUACUACAAUGGCGUUAAACAAAGAGAAGCAAGACCGCGAGGUGGAGCAAAACUCAAAAACAACGUCUCAGUUCAGAUUGCAGGCUGCAACUCGCCUGCAUGAAGUCGGAAUUGCUAGUAAUCGCGGAUCAGCAUGCCGCGGUGAAUACGUUCCCGGGCCUUGUACACACCGCCCGUCACACCAUGAGAGCCGGGGGGACCCGAAGUCGAUAGUCUAACCGCAAGGAGGACGUCGCCGAAGGUAAAACUGGUGAUUGGGGUGAAGUCGUAACAAGGUA
This 1469-nucleotide ribosomal RNA is filed under the name metagenome. RNAcentral describes it as "bacterial SSU rRNA". It matches the Rfam family "Bacterial small subunit ribosomal RNA". The record is from RNAcentral.